UUCAAGUCUGUCUCCAUAACUUUGGGUUAAAACAAAUUCUAAAUAUGACUGGGGAAAGUCCAGGGGAAACUGGCUUCCAUGCAUUCUUUACCUUGUUUACAAAUGGACUUGGCAUAUCUACAGACUGAUGGGCACUGGAGUUGGCAUACAGAUACAGGUGUCCAAAGAAUGUCAAAAAGCAAUCGGAUAAUCUGCACAGAAGAACAACACCUGGUGCCACAAUUUUAAAAAUCAGCACACAAAAUAAACAAGUGUUUACUUUGCAUAGGAAGCAAGCGGAUUCCAUUCCCGUCCCACACUGCCAGAGAUGGCAGAUCUGAAUAGGAUUUGCUUGGGAGAAAUGAGGAAGGCUUGAGUUAAGGUGGAGCGCUGGAGUGGAGGGAGAAGCAAGAAGUCAUUUGACAGAGCAAGAUAUAGGACACAGUGUGACUGACUUGCUGUGUGGGAGGUAAAGAGGGAGACCAGCACGACUCAAGCUUGGGAAGUACAUCAGAGCCCCAGACGAUGAGCACAGGUGGAGGUCUGAGAAGAAGAUAAAGAAUUUGCUCUUGGACAUGCGGAACUUGAGAGGCCUGAAGGUCAUUCUGAUGGACCUGAAAUACAUACUGCGGGUCCAGGAAGAAGUCAGAAUUCAAAGAGAUAUGAUGUCUUAAAUUGUCUGGGCAUAUCUCGAUUUCAUGUAAUUGUAUUCUUUUCAAUAGGGGAAUUAAU
Eptesicus fuscus (big brown bat) is the source of this 711-nucleotide long non-coding RNA. RefSeq lists it as uncharacterized. The transcript is spliced from 3 exons. The record is from RefSeq and is a predicted model, not a curated record. Lineage: Eukaryota; Metazoa; Chordata; Mammalia; Chiroptera; Vespertilionidae.